AGAUUAAGUUAUUAAGGGCGCACGGUGGAUGCCUUGGCACUAGAAGCCGACGAAGGACGUUACUAACGACGAUAUGCUUUGGGGAGCUGUAAGUAAGCUUUGAUCCAGAGAUUUCCGAAUGGGGAAACCCAGCACGAGUUAUGUCGUGUUAUCGAUAUGUGAAUACAUAGCAUAUCUGAAGGCAGACGCGGAGAACUGAAACAUCUUAGUACCCGCAGGAAGAGAAAGAAAAAUCGAUUCCCUGAGUAGCGGCGAGCGAAACGGGAAGAGCCCAAACCAACGAGCUUGCUUGUUGGGGUUGUAGGACACUCUAUACGGAGUUACAAAAGAACAGACUAGACGAAUCAUCUGGAAAGAUGAAUCAAAGAAGGUAAUAAUCCUGUAGUCGAAAGUUUGUUCACUCUUGAGUGGAUCCUGAGUACGACGGAACACGAGAAAUUCCGUCGGAAUCUGGGAGGACCAUCUCCCAAGGCUAAAUACUCUCUAGUGACCGAUAGUGAACCAGUACCGUGAGGAAAGGUGAAAAGUACCCCGGAAGGGGAGUGAAAUAGAACUUGAAACCGUGUGCUUACAAGUAGUCAGAGCCCGUUAAUGGGUGAUGGCGUGCCUUUUGUAGAAUGAACCGGCGAGUUACGAUUUGAUGCAAGGUUAAGCAGUGAAUGUGGAGCCGUAGCGAAAGCGAGUCUGAAUAGGGCGUUGAGUAUUUGGUCGUAGACCCGAAACCAGGCGAUCUACCCAUGACCAGGUUGAAGUUCAGGUAACACUGAAUGGAGGACCGAACCGACUUACGUUGAAAAGUGAGCGGAUGAGUUGUGGGUAGCGGAGAAAUUCCAAUCGAACCUGGAGAUAGCUGGUUCUCUCCGAAAUAGCUUUAGGGCUAGCCUCAAGUGAUGAUUAUUGGAGGUAGAGCACUGUUUGGACGAGGGGCCCUUAUCGGGUUACCGAAUUCAGACAAACUCCGAAUGCCAAUCAAUUUAACUUGGGAGUCAGAACGCGGGUGAUAAGGUCCGUGUUCGAAAGGGAAACAGCCCAGACCACCAGCUAAGGUCCCAAAAUAUAUGUUAAGUGGAAAAGGAUGUGGCGUUGCCCAGACAACUAGGAUGUUGGCUUAGAAGCAGCCAUCAUUUAAAGAGUGCGUAAUAGCUCACUAGUCGAGUGACACUGCGCCGAAAAUGUACCGGGGCUAAACAUAUUACCGAAGCUGUGGAUUGUCCGUAAGGACAAUGGUAGGAGAGCGUUCUAAGGGCGUUGAAGCAUGAUUGCAAGGACAUGUGGAGCGCUUAGAAGUGAGAAUGCCGGUGUGAGUAGCGAAAGACGGGUGAGAAUCCCGUCCACCGAUUGACUAAGGUUUCCAGAGGAAGGCUCGUCCGCUCUGGGUUAGUCGGGUCCUAAGCUGAGGCCGAUAGGCGUAGGCGAUGGAUAACAGGUUGAUAUUCCUGUACCACCAUUAUUCGUUUUAAGCGAUGGGGGACGCAGUAGGAUAGGCGAAGCGUACGAUUGGAUUGUACGUCCAAGCAGUGAGAUUGAGUGUUAGGCAAAUCCGGCACUCUUAAGAUUGAGCUGUGAUGGGGAGAGGAAAUUGUUUCCUCGAGUCGUUGAUUUCACACUGCCAAGAAAAGCCUCUAGCUAGAAUUGUGGUGCCCGUACCGCAAACCGACACAGGUAGUCAAGAUGAGAAUUCUAAGGUGAGCGAGCGAACUCUCGUUAAGGAACUCGGCAAAAUGACCCCGUAACUUCGGGAGAAGGGGUGCUCUUUAGGGUUAACGCCCAGGAGAGCCGCAGUGAAUAGGCCCAAGCGACUGUUUAUCAAAAACACAGGUCUCUGCUAAACCGUAAGGUGAUGUAUAGGGGCUGACGCCUGCCCGGUGCUGGAAGGUUAAGAGGAGUGGUUAGCUUCUGCGAAGCUACGAAUCGAAGCCCCAGUAAACGGCGGCCGUAACUAUAACGGUCCUAAGGUAGCGAAAUUCCUUGUCGGGUAAGUUCCGACCCGCACGAAAGGCGUAACGAUUUGGGCACUGUCUCAACGAGAGACUCGGUGAAAUCAUAGUACCUGUGAAGAUGCAGGUUACCCGCGACAGGACGGAAAGACCCCGUGGAGCUUUACUGUAGUCUGAUAUUGAAAUUCGGCACAGCUUGUACAGGAUAGGUAGGAGCCUGAGAUACGUGAGCGCUAGCUUACGUGGAGGCGUUGGUGGGAUACUACCCUCGCUGUGUUGGAUUUCUAACCCGCACCAUUUAUCAUGGUGGGAGACAGUGUCAGAUGGGCAGUUUGACUGGGGCGGUCGCCUCCUAAAGAGUAACGGAGGCGCUCAAAGGUUUCCUCAGAAUGGUUGGAAAUCAUUCAUAGAGUGUAAAGGCAUAAGGAAGCUUGACUGCGAGACUUACAAGUCGAGCAGGGUCGAAAGACGGACUUAGUGAUCCGGUGGUUCCGCAUGGAAGGGCCAUCGCUCAACGGAUAAAAGCUACCCCGGGGAUAACAGGCUUAUCUCCCCCAAGAGUUCACAUCGACGGGGAGGUUUGGCACCUCGAUGUCGGCUCAUCGCAUCCUGGGGCUGUAGUCGGUCCCAAGGGUUGGGCUGUUCGCCCAUUAAAGCGGUACGCGAGCUGGGUUCAGAACGUCGUGAGACAGUUCGGUCCCUAUCCGUCGUGGGCGUAGGAAAUUUGAGAGGAGCUGUCCUUAGUACGAGAGGACCGGGAUGGACAUACCUCUGGUGUACCAGUUGUCGUGCCAACGGCAUCGCUGGGUAGCUAUGUAUGGACGGGAUAAGUGCUGAAAGCAUCUAAGCAUGAAGCCCCCUCAAGAUGAGAUUUCCCAACUUCGGUUAUAAGAUCCCUCAAAGAUGAUGAGGUUAAUAGGUUCGAGGUGGAAGCAUAGCGAUAUGUGCAGCUGACGAAUACUAAUCGAUCGAAGACUUAAUCAAAUUUUA
Molecule: ribosomal RNA, 2927 nt
Filed under: Staphylococcus saprophyticus
Lineage: Bacteria; Bacillati; Bacillota; Bacilli; Caryophanales; Staphylococcaceae
Description: 23S ribosomal RNA
Rfam family: Bacterial large subunit ribosomal RNA
Source: RNAcentral